UCGCGGAUCAGCAUGCCGCGGUGAAUACGUUCCCGGGCCUUGUACACACCGCCCGUCACACCAUGAGAGUCGGGAACACCCGAAGUCCGUAGCCUAACCGCAAGGAGGGCGCGGCCGAAGGUGGGUUCGAUAAUUGGGGUGAAGUCGUAACAAGGUACC
This 159-nucleotide ribosomal RNA is filed under the name uncultured bacterium. RNAcentral describes it as "partial 16S ribosomal RNA". It matches the Rfam family "Bacterial small subunit ribosomal RNA", at positions 1342 to 1500 of the family's 1533-position model. The record is from RNAcentral.